GAUGAACGCUGGCGGCGUGCCUAAUACAUGCAAGUCGAGCGAACGGACGAGAAGCUUGCUUCUCUGAUGUUAGCGGCGGACGGGUGAGUAACGCGUGGAUAACCUACCUAUAAGACUGGGAUAACUUCGGGAAACCGGAGCUAAUACCGUAUAAUAUUUUGAACCGCAUGGUUCAAAAGUGAAAGACGGUCUUUCUGUCACUUAUAGAUGGAUCCGCGCUGCAUUAGCUAGUUGGUAAGGUAACGGCUUACCAAGGCAACGAUGCAUAGCCGACCUGAGAGGGUGAUAGGCCACACUGGAAGUGAGACACGGUCCAGACUACUACGGGAGGCAGCAGUAGGGAACGGUCCGCAAUAGGCGAGAGCCUGACGGAGCAAGGCCGCGUGAGUGAUGAAAGUCUUCGGAUCGUAAAACUCUGUUAUUAGGGAAGAACAUAUGUGUAAGUAACUGUGCACAUCUUGACGGUACCUAAUAAGAAAGCCACGGCUAACUACGUG
RNAcentral lists this ribosomal RNA (497 nucleotides) under uncultured bacterium. RNAcentral describes it as "partial 16S ribosomal RNA". It matches the Rfam family "Bacterial small subunit ribosomal RNA", at positions 28 to 507 of the family's 1533-position model. The record is from RNAcentral.